RNAcentral lists this long non-coding RNA (233 nucleotides) under Brassica napus (rape). Its description in RNAcentral is "long non-coding RNA (BNAP_LNC018242)". The record is from RNAcentral. Lineage: Eukaryota; Viridiplantae; Streptophyta; Magnoliopsida; Brassicales; Brassicaceae.
UUUGGUAGACCUUAUAAUACACGAAAAUAUGGAAAUGCUCCUGCAAUGUCACAUGUUUGCCUAAAAUGUUUUUAAUGCUUCUCUUUCGAUUAUGGACAAUGGAGAAUGCAGCCAUAUAUGAUGUCAAUACUCUUAUUCAAAUUUGACUUAUUCACAUAAAAACCAUUAAUAUUACAGAGCACAUCGACUAUUAUUACUUUCGAUACAUACCACUAGGUCCACAACUAACUCAA